RNAcentral lists this ribosomal RNA (493 nucleotides) under uncultured bacterium. Its description in RNAcentral is "bacterial SSU rRNA". It matches the Rfam family "Bacterial small subunit ribosomal RNA", at positions 903 to 1397 of the family's 1533-position model. The record is from RNAcentral.
AAAGGAAUUGACGGGGGCCCGCACAAGCGGCGGAGCAUGUGGCUUAAUUCGAUGCAACGCGAAGAACCUUACCUGGGUUGAACUAUGCCGGAAAAGCCGUAGAGAUACGGUGUCCUUCGGGGCCGGUGAUAGGUGGUGCAUGGCUGUCGUCAGCUCGUGUCGUGAGAUGUUGGGUUAAGUCCCGCAACGAGCGCAACCCUUAUCCUAUGUUGCCAGCGCGUUAUGGCGGGGACUCGUAGGAGACUGCCGGUGCCAAACCGGAGGAAGGUGGGGAUGACGUCAAGUCCUCAUGCCCCUUACGUCCAGGGCUGCACACGUGCUACAAUGGUUGGUACAGAGGGCUGCAAUCCCGCGAGGGGGAGCUAAUCCCAAAAAGCCAAUCUCAGUUCGGAUCGUAGUCUGCAACUCGACUGCGUGAAGCUGGAGUCGCUAGUAAUCGCAGAUCAGCAUUGCUGCGGUGAAUACGUUCCCGGGCCUUGUACACACCGCCCGU